RNAcentral lists this long non-coding RNA (1881 nucleotides) under Octopus vulgaris (common octopus). The record is from RNAcentral. Lineage: Eukaryota; Metazoa; Mollusca; Cephalopoda; Octopoda; Octopodidae.
CGACGAGUUUUAGACCCGCCAGUCGAAGUUGUUAUCAGAAAGUUACAGAUCAAAGGAUCCUUAGAGACAAUGAAUAUGGACGCGUGCGUGAGUAUAUGGGUAAAUAUUUGUAUGUAUGUGUACAUGUAGAUGUAGAUGUAUAUAUACAUACACAUAUACAUAUAUGUAUAUAUAUACAUACACACACACACACACACACACACACACACACACACACAUAUAUAUAUAUAUAUAUAUAUAGAGAGAGAGAGAGAGAGAGAGAGAGAUGCAUAUAUAUACUUGUGAAUAUAUAUAAAUAUAUGUAUGUAUAUAUAUACAUAUAUAUAUAAAUAUAUAUUUAUAUAUACACUUAUAUAUAUAUAAUACAUACAUACAUAUACACAAACACACGCACACACACACGCACGCGCACACACACAUUUAUAUAUAUCAUAUAUUUAGUACGUUUUCAUUGAUUAUGAGAAACCUUGUUACUUCAAAUAUCUUAAUUACAGAGACGCCAAUAUAUAUACAUAGUUACACUUCUACACUUACAUAUAUAUAUAUAUAUAUAUAAGUCCUUAGACACACAGACACACAUACGCAUGUGUACAUACCUAUCGCGGUACUCUGUCGGGUACGACGACGAGGGUUCUAGUUGGUCCGAUCAAUGCAAGAGCCUGCUCGUAAAAUUCACAUGUAAGUGGCUGAGUACUCCGAAGACAUGUGUACCCUUAACGUAGUUCUAGGAGAGAUUCAGCGUGCCACAGAGUGUGACAAGGCUGGCCCUUUGAAAUACAGGUACAACAGAAACAGGAAGAAAGCGUGAGAGUAUAAUGUGGUGAAAGAAUAAUGUUUGCCUCUCAAACCAUCUUUCAUGGGGUCGAAGAAAUGAUAGUCCAGUGACGAGGAAAUGAAAACUUUAGUGAAAAAGUGGCUCAAAGAACGGUCAACAGGAUUUUACGAGGCAGGGAGACAUGCUCUCAUUCGAAGGUGGAACAUUGCUAUUGAGAGAAACGGUGACUAUGUUGAGAAGUAGGGAUGUGAUCCACAGAGGACCAGCUUCAUUUUGAUGUAUGAUAUAUGUUCCUGUGUUGGUAAUUAUACCCGUCCUAAAGAAAAUGGCAUUACUUUUUGACUCACCCUCGUACCAGCAUAACUGGGAUACGCCUUGGCCAUUGUAAACCGCUUAAAGUGCGAUAAAUAUUGACUUGUGUCACUCAAUAGGUGUUGAUCACCGUGGAAUGAAAGCGCAAAAAAACCUAUGACUAACCACACUGGAAAUCCUGACGCUGGCAUUGAUGCUUUCUACGCGUUGUUUCAUUAGCUGUUCAUUAAAAAAAUACACGUCUAUCGUGGCAGUGUUUAUGACCGUAUUUAUGACUGCACAACAGCUAUAAGAAUACCAGACUCAGUGGACUGCAUCAUAAGAUGUGUGAAUCCUCACCUGGUGGUGUCAUAUCACUAGCCCGCAAUAGCCAUUGAAUUUAUCGAUAACAAAUAAAUUUUGUGUGCGAGCCUAUGUGCACCGGACCCCACGAUUUUAUGUGCUUGUGUGUGCGUGUGAGUUUGUACGAGCUAGUGGCCGUGCGUCAGACCACGUUUGUGUGAGCGUAUGUAAAUCCAUUUCUACUAAAGGUUAUGUUUAAUACUUUUUCCGCUGUAUUAUGUAUUUAUUUCUUUUUGUAUCUUGAUAGUUGUUAUGGAUCUUCUAUAAGUAUGAAGCUGUAGCCCGUAUUUUGCCAUUUCUGUAUACGAAGACCAAGAAGAAAUUUUGCGAAACCGAGUUUAUUUUACCGAGAUAUCACCUCAAGAGAUUCAUCAACACCGAGCGAUACGCCUAAACCAGUUGUAUAGCAUCCCAACCGCGAGACACUGAUGCUAGAUGGGUCGAAACAAUCG